GGUGGGAACUGGGAAGGGGGCGAGCGGGACGGGCGGGGCGGCAGAUGGGGAGGCGGCUAGGGUUCUACCUGCUGCUGGCGGAAGUAGCAGGGUUUGAAGGAGCGGCAGAUGUGGGCAUGGUUGCGGUUGGGGAAGGCUCACCGGCUGGGGGACGGCGAGCAUCGGUGAGCGCAACGAAAGGAAGCCAGGCAUCGGCGUACGGCAACGAUUUUGGCGCCUGCGGCAUGACGGCGAGUCGCCGCCGAACGCUCAGCGAUGGGGCGAGUUGGUUAAGGUGUCAGUGGCGCCUUUGCUUGUCGCCAAGGAUGGCACGUGCGCGAUCUGAAGUACGACGUCGGCCAACUUCGGCCUCCGAGGCUUCCCUGACACCCUCCUCUACCACUACCUCAAUAAAAAGGUCUUCGAAGGAUUAGGGCUUAGGGCAACUCGAUGGCAGCCAGUCGGAGUUUGCUAAGUUGCAUAUGCAAGUCCUUUUGAAAUAUGAAACUUCUGUCUGGUGAUGAGCUUCUGCUCAUCUUGCUUCUGCUCAUCUUGAUUGAUUCAUCUCCAGUGAAGGGGUGUGCCUUUUGAUGCAUUCAUUUUCUCUUUCAUACAUGGUGUUCAUCUUUGUUUUGGAGAACAACACCCUUGCUGAUGUUCAUCUUCUCUAUGUAUGCAGGGGGCUUGUCCUUCCAUGGUGCUCAGCCACGGACAGAUUUGGAGCGAAAAUAGGAGAUCCUGACAAUAAUGAGCAUGCUAGCGGUGGAUCCAAGGAUGCAUGGUGAUUGUGCCAGGUUUGUGCUCUGGCUCUUCUGUUGGGUACACAUGAAUCUAUGAUCCAGAUUCUAGCUACACCCUUUACUACAACAAUCUCAGGCUUUACUGAAAAGUGUACUGCUUAUAUAGUUGAUAUCUUUAAUUCAUAUGGUCGUCCGCUGGAUGAUCACUGGUCUUCGGUUCAUAUGGUCACUGGCUGGAAGCUUGCUGUUAUGUUUGCUUCAUAUGGUGGUCGACUGGAAGCUCGCGGUCUGAAUGAUCUCAUUGUCUAUGGCCGGCAAUACACACUUUUCAUUACUACCAGCCAGGGGUUCACGGGCCAUCAUGAUGAUAUACUUGGUUCUUUAAAGAAGAAUGAUAAGAACUAACGAGGGUUGUCUUGUCCAAGAGCUCUGCCGCGAUGGCAUCGCCACUCAGUGAUGCCUCAGCAGGAAGGCUAAUCGCAGGGAGGUGCGACAUGGGUGGCCUAAAAAGCUAAUUUGGUGCCCUCUCUCUUUGCCUCUUGUUUCCUCCAGCACCUUGAUUUUGAUGGCUAAUAUAUUGACUUUCUAAACAUCUUUAAUUUAUAAGGAAUGUAGUAGUUAUAUGCUUUUCAUUUAUGAUAGAGAGAUUGAACCUAGGUGUCUUGCUUGCUGCUUUGUAAUAUAAGCAUGAUAUUUUUCUGCCGACUUUGUGGACAGGCUAACAAUGAAAAUUUUAUCUGUAAAAUAUGGUGAUCCCUAUAGUGCUAUUUCUGAAGCUUCGCUGUGCUUGCUUUCCCCCAACAAGCAGUAAUCCAAUCACGGGUGCAUCAGGUACUAUAUCAUGUGAGAAAAUCAAACUGCUCAUUCAUAAGACAGGAUUUCCGCUCACAUUUAUCAUGCUUCGACACUCACAAAAUAUCUUGUGAGCAUUAAUGCCCGCAAGCCCAACCUGAAGAGAGUAAGCAUCUCUUCUUAUUCUCCCUCUCCCUCAAUUUGCUUUUUUGAUUGUCUUGAUUUGGUAUUGUGAUAUGGUAGUUGUAUACUUCUGAGUGUUAUUCCAUUAUUAUAUCCUCUGAAAUGUUAAAACCUGACUAGAUCUGGAUAUUGUAUGUAUUAUUACGUCUACAUAUGGAGGAGCAGAGCAUUGCAUCGGACCUUUGCCUGUUGAUAUAUAGUACGUCGUCCUUCUCAAGCACAUCGGCUUAACAUACUGAUGCCACCCAUGGUGGCCUUGGGUUCUGAUUGAGGCAUCAGCCACGGACGUGGGAUUGCCAGUUCGUAGUUUUGUUCCACUGAAUUUUUCAUACUCGAGCUUUUGGGCCUACGCUACAACCAGCAGUAUCCAAGACAGGUGGCCGCCUUUUGUACCAUGUUCAAAAGGAAUUGGUGCUCUGAAAUUCAAUAAUUUUUUGCAGGUUUCCUCUCGGUUGCUCAGGUUCACAAUCACAGCAAGUAACCAUAUGGUUUUCCACAGGCAACUGCGCAACAUUAUUUUUCAGGAGGACAAGUAAUCAACUUAUUUCACAUUCAGUACACUACAAACAACUGCUGACACAAUGAGGUUCAACCAUGAUCGUAGCCACCGAUGUCUAAACGCUCUUAUAUUUCUUUACAAUGGAGUAUUUGAUAGUUCAUAGUUGAUAGCACUGAAUAAAGUAUUCCAGAAUAUUACUUAUGUAUCUUAUCACUUGCUCUCUAUUUUUGCCAGCGUGUAUCAGAUUGGUUAUUGUUGUUUCAAUACAGUUUGUGGUUUUAGUAUUUUUUUUAUCAUGCUGAAGCUUUAGUUAGAUUUUUUGUGGGAGUUUCAAGAGCAAUUUUUUUCUUUGCUUGCAGCCGCUAUUUUACUGUUCAACACUGGUAUAGUUGAAGAAUAAUAUUUAGAGAAGUCCCCCAUCAGCAUAUCUGAGCUUAGCCGAGACGACAUGCAUCUACGGGGAGAAUCACCAUGAUGGACUGCAUCUGCCCAGACGAUCGUUGCGACGGCCACAACGAAGUGCAUCUCUCAAUUCCAGGAUCAACAUGCUGGACGAAUCCUCCUUUCAUGUUAAGUUGCAACAGUGCAAGCAAACACCAUGGAGGCUUCUGUAGUUAGGGACGGUGAAUCUGCAUCAACAGUGCUGGAUGGAAAUUGCUCGCCGUCCUUCCUCCAUAAACCACGUAGGGACCUUGUAUUAGCCUCCCCAUCUAUCCGUCAGGAAGCCCUGACUUUCCCUGCUAUUGCUGUCAAAAAUGCUACCCUUGUAGCACACGAACUGAACUUAAGUAUGUCACAUGGAGCUUCAGGUAACAAAUCUAAAAGAACCAAAAUUAAUGUAUGGCAUGUCUUUCGUCA
Long non-coding RNA from Triticum aestivum (bread wheat), 3051 nucleotides. RefSeq lists it as uncharacterized. The record is from RefSeq and is a predicted model, not a curated record. The transcript has 5 exons. NCBI's taxonomy places the organism in Eukaryota, Viridiplantae, Streptophyta, Magnoliopsida, Poales, Poaceae.